UUGUACACACCGCCCGUCACCAUGGGAGUGGGUUGCAAAAGAAGUAGGUAGCUUAACUUGGGAGGGCGCUUACCACUUGUGAUUCAUGACUGGGGUGAAGUCGUAAACAAAGGGUAACCGUAGGGAACUGCGGUUGGAUCACCUCUUACCUUAAG
RNAcentral lists this ribosomal RNA (155 nucleotides) under chlamydia-associated clinical sample 591-S. RNAcentral's name for it is "partial 16S ribosomal RNA". It matches the Rfam family "Bacterial small subunit ribosomal RNA", at positions 1381 to 1533 of the family's 1533-position model. The record is from RNAcentral.